This is a small nucleolar RNA of Lontra canadensis (Northern American river otter), 127 nucleotides long. RefSeq annotates it as small nucleolar RNA SNORA51. The transcript has a single exon. Lineage: Eukaryota; Metazoa; Chordata; Mammalia; Carnivora; Mustelidae. The record is from RefSeq and is a predicted model, not a curated record.
AGCCUCCUGGUGCUUACCACUGGCUAUGUUUUUACAUAGAAUGUACAGAAAGAGAAAGAGUAAACCCACCAAAUAUACCUCAGCCCAGGCCCUCUGCCUGGUUUGUACUGUGAAUGGGGGGACACUA